RNAcentral lists this long non-coding RNA (1219 nucleotides) under Salmo salar (Atlantic salmon). RNAcentral's name for it is "lncRNA (ENSSSAG00000055560.2)". The record is from RNAcentral. Lineage: Eukaryota; Metazoa; Chordata; Actinopteri; Salmoniformes; Salmonidae.
GCUGUGCAGAUGUCAUUGCUGUACUAAUAAACAAAGUACUUACUUUGCAAGAGGACCAGGGAAUGCUGUGAGGACUCCAGGCUGCUCCUGUGGGAUCUGCUGAGGGAGAUCAGAGGAAGCAGGGAAGAGGAGAUGGACAGGAGCAUCGACAAUCUGAGAAGAACCAGCCUCUAUUUCCCAGUUGGCCCCUUGACCAGGUUGAUCCUGUUGGUUCACUGGUGGAGAGAUGGGAUGGUCGACCAAGAUAGGCUUCACUGGUGGAGAGAUGGGCCGUUCAACCACGACGGGUUUCACUGGUGGAGAGGUGGGCAGCUCAACCAUGAUGGGCUUCACAGGUGGAGAAAUGGGCAGCUCAACAAAAAUGGGAUUCACUGGUGGAGAGAUGGGCAGCUCAACCACAAUGGGCUCCACUGGUGGAGAGAUGGGCAGCUCAACCACAAUGGGCUUCACUGGUGGAGAGUUGGGCAGCUCAACCACAAUGGGCUUCACUGGUGGAGAAAUGGGCAGCUCAACAAAAAUGGGAUUCACUGGUGGAGAGAUGGGCAGCUCAACCACAAUGGGCUCCACUGGUGGAGAGAUGGGCAGCUCAACCACAAUGGGCUUCACAAGUGGAGAAAUGGGCAGCUCAACAAAAAUGGGAUUCACUGGUGGAGAGAUGGGCAGCUCAACCACAAUGGGCUCCACUGGUGGAGAGAUGGGCAGCUCAACCACAAUGGGCUCCACUGGUGGAGAUAUGGGCAGCUCAACCACAAUGGGCUUCACUGGUGGAGAGUUGGGCAGCUCAACCACAAUGGGCUUCACAAGUGGAGAAAUGGGCAGCUCAACAAAAAUGGGAUUCACUGGUGGAGAGAUGGGCAGCUCAACCACAAUGGACUUCACUGGUGGAGAGUUGGGCAGCUCCAUCACGAUGAUAUUAACUGGUGGAGAGAUGUGCUCCUCAACCCCGAUGGGCUCCACUGGAGGUGUAGGGAAGACAUUCUGGGCCCUUUGACAUCUCUGAGUUGUAGGUGGAGGGAAAUAAUCCGAUAGGGAGGGAGGAGGCAGGGUAGUUCUGGCCUGUGGAACUGAAGUUUCCAUGUCUUUCUUUCUUUUUUUAUGUCGCUGUGUCUGACCCUUCAGUGAAAUAAGUUUCGGCGGUGGUUGGACAAAUUGGGAAAGGACAUAAACAAAUCAAAAUGCAUUCGAGACAUACUAUAUGCCGAAUAUAACAAGUGUAGAC